This 73-nucleotide transfer RNA is filed under the name Armillaria borealis. RNAcentral's name for it is "tRNA-Val". The record is from RNAcentral. Lineage: Eukaryota; Fungi; Basidiomycota; Agaricomycetes; Agaricales; Physalacriaceae.
GAUUCAAUGGUCUAGUGGUUAUGAUUUGUGUCUCACACACACAAGGUCCUGAGUUCGAGCCUCAGUUGAAUCA